CUCUCACACUCUCUCUCUCACACUCUCUCUCUCUUUCUCUGUACAUGUUUCAGCCACUUGUCUCUUACAACCCCAGACUUACACACACACUCUUUCUCUCUCUCUCUCUAACACACACACACACACACACACAACCCUGGGCUCAUUUGGACAUUGCAGAAACUUUCAUCAGCAAAGAGAUUGUGUUCGUCAAGAUGCAGGUGUUGCUUGCGGAGAUAAAAGCUUUUCCUGGACUUCUGGUGCUACUGAUUGCGUCAACUUAUGGUCUGGACUCCAUCUGUGAUGCUACUCAGGAUGCUACAUGUUAUGGGGCUCUGGGAGGACCUGUGUAUCUGCAGCUGAUGAGGGACACCAGUGGGCAUGAACUGAGCUUUCGUAAUGAACAUAAAACCAUUUUUACACUCAGACGAUCCAAGACAGUGUUCUCUAACGAGUUCAACACCCCAUCAUACCUCCAGAGGUGGCAGUUUGUUCCUGAUAACGGGACCCUCAUUAUAAACCCUGCAGAGAGGAAAGAUGCAGGAACAUACAGAGUGGAGAUCUUUAAAAAGUCAUCAGGGAAGAGUGUGGGAGAUCACACAGUACAGCUGAUCAUUGAAGCUCCUGUGUCUGUUGUGAAUCUGUCAAUCAGCUGCUCAGCCAAUGGGGAGAGGAGGGUGAGUUGCUCCUCCAAUGGGGACAGUCCUCAAUACAGCUGGUCUGUGGAUGGAAGGCCUCUGAGUGAAAUCUUAACCAAUCAGAGCACAGAAGGUCAAACCAAGACCAAUAAGACAUCUCCAAACACACAGGAAGCAUCUUCCAGUGGUUCAACUGAAAGGCCGGAGUCUAGUCCUGAUCUUAACACUGAUCUCAGUUCACCUAACCUCACACUCCCAGAGGGCAUUCAGGGACAUCUCACCUGCUCAGCCAGAAACAGCAUCAGCAGCGCCAACGAGGCCCAACUACUACCCUCCUGCACAACCACCCCAGCACCAACUGCCUCCUCACCUCCACACCAUCUCACCUCUACUGUAUCUGUGACAACCAGCAGUGUAGUAUCCAUGGCAACUAACACCACGCUCACCAUCCUUGGAGCAGUUCUGGGAGGUGUUCUGUUUCUGUGUAUGUUCAUGGCAGUGUUUUGUAUCUGCAAAAAGAAGAAGAAAAACGCACCCACAACAGCUAACAGCUACGAGGUGGAGUAUGCAGAAGUGUCCUUCAAGAAGAGGAGGGAGACUGAGGAGAGGAGAAAAUUGGCGGAGACUGUGGACUACGGAGAGGUGACCUUCCGGAAGAAGGGGGAAACUGAGGAGAAGAGAACAUUGGCGGAGACGGUGGACUACGGAGAGGUCAGACUACCAAAACCUACCUGCAACACACAGCAGGAGGACAGUGUGUAUGCGCAGGUGCGCAGAGGACAGUGACAGGACACUGUCUCUCUGUGUGUGUUUGUGUGUGUGUGAGAGUGUAUGUGACUCUAUGUGUGGGUGUGUGUGUGCGUAUGUGUGUGUGAGAGUGUAUGUUACUUUAUGUGUGUGUGUGUGUGUGUGUGUGUGUGUGUGUGUGUGUGUGUGUGUGUGUCCCCAAACCCAAUCAUGUCAGCAGCUCAGAGACAAAGUGAGGGAGAGAGAGAGAGUUUGUGUUGCAUAUAUAUUAGUGCUGUCAGUUUAACGCGUUAUUAACGGCGUUAACGCAAACCCAUUUUAACGCCGUUAAUUUUUUUAUCGCGAGAU
This is a long non-coding RNA of Clupea harengus (Atlantic herring), 1712 nucleotides long. The record is from Ensembl. Lineage: Eukaryota; Metazoa; Chordata; Actinopteri; Clupeiformes; Clupeidae.